UACGGGGGGGGCAAGCGUUGUUCGGAAUUACUGGGCGUAAAGGGCUCAUAGGCGGCCCUCUCAGUCGGAUGUGAAAUCCCCAGGCUUAACCUGGGAACGGCAUCCGAUACUGGAGGGCUUGAAUUCGGGAGAGGGAUGCAGAAUUCCAGGUGUAGCGGUGAAAUGCGCAGAUAUCUGGAAGAACACCCGUGGCGAAGGCGGCUUCCUGGAACGACACUGACGCUGAGACGCGAAAGCGUGGGGAGCAAACAGG
This 253-nucleotide ribosomal RNA is filed under the name uncultured bacterium. Its description in RNAcentral is "partial 16S ribosomal RNA". It matches the Rfam family "Bacterial small subunit ribosomal RNA", at positions 524 to 776 of the family's 1533-position model. The record is from RNAcentral.